RNAcentral lists this ribosomal RNA (426 nucleotides) under uncultured bacterium. Its description in RNAcentral is "bacterial SSU rRNA". It matches the Rfam family "Bacterial small subunit ribosomal RNA", at positions 354 to 796 of the family's 1533-position model. The record is from RNAcentral.
GUGAGGGAUAUUGCACAAUGGGCGAAAGCCUGAUGCAGCGACGCCGCGUGGGUGAUGAAGGUCUUCGGAUCGUAAAGCCCUUUUCUGCGUGACGAAAACAGACGGUAGCGCAGGAAUAAGUCUCGGCUAACUACGUGCCAGCAGCCGCGGUAAAACGUAGGAGGCAAGCGUUAUCCGGAGUUACUGGGCGUAAAGCGUGUGUAGGUGGUUCUUCAAGUUCGGUGUGAAAGCGCCCGGCUCAACUGGGCGAGGCCAUUGAAGACUGAAGGGCUAGAGGAUGGUAGAGGGGCGUAGAAUUCCGGGUGUAGCGGUGAAAUGUGUAGAGAUCCGGAGGAAUACCAGUGGUGCAGACGGCGCCCUGGGCCAUACCUGACACUGAGACACGAAAGCGUGGGGAGCGAACGGGAUUAGAUACCCGGGUAGUCC